RNAcentral lists this ribosomal RNA (115 nucleotides) under Salmonella enterica subsp. enterica serovar Thompson. RNAcentral also lists the same sequence under 9 other names. Lineage: Bacteria; Pseudomonadati; Pseudomonadota; Gammaproteobacteria; Enterobacterales; Enterobacteriaceae. The record is from RNAcentral.
CCUGGCGGCACUAGCGCGGUGGUCCCACCUGACCCCAUGCCGAACUCAGAAGUGAAACGCCGUAGCGCCGAUGGUAGUGUGGGGUCUCCCCAUGCGAGAGUAGGGAACUGCCAGG